RNAcentral lists this ribosomal RNA (301 nucleotides) under uncultured bacterium. RNAcentral's name for it is "partial 16S ribosomal RNA". It matches the Rfam family "Bacterial small subunit ribosomal RNA", at positions 509 to 807 of the family's 1533-position model. The record is from RNAcentral.
CAGUAGCCACGGUAAUACGAAGGGUGCAAGCGUUAAUCGGAAUUACUGGGCGUAAAGCGUGCGUAGGCGGUUUGUUAAGUCUGUUGUGAAAUCCCCGGGCUCAACCUGGGAAUGGCAAUGGAUACUGGCAAGCUAGAGUGUGUCAGAGGAUGGUGGAAUUCCCGGUGUAGCGGUGAAAUGCGUAGAGAUCGGGAGGAACAUCAGUGGCGAAGGCAGCCCCCUGGGCCAAUACUGACGCUCAUGCACGAAAGCGUGGGGAGCAAACAGGAUUAGAUACCCCAGUAGUCCCUGUCUCUUAUAC